AUGCAACGCGAAGAACCUUACCUGGUCUUGACAUCCACAGAACUUUCCAGAGAUGGAUUGGUGCCUUCGGGAACUGUGAGACAGGUGCUGCAUGGCUGUCGUCAGCUCGUGUUGUGAAAUGUUGGGUUAAGUCCCGCAACGAGCGCAACCCGUGUUGCUAGUUACAAGUGUCUAGCGAGACUGCCGGUAACAAGCCGGAGGAAGGUGCGGAUGAUGUCAAGUCAGCAUGGCCUAUAUGUCCAGGGCUACACACACGCUACAAUGGCUGGUACAAAGAGAAGCGAAAGGGAGACCUGAAGCGAAUCUCAUCAAAGCCAGUCAUAGUUCGGAUUGCAGGCUGCAACUCGCCUGCAUGAAGUCGGAGUUGCUAGUAACCGCAGGUCAGCAAUACUGCGGUGAAUACGUUCCCGGGCCUUGUACACAC
This 424-nucleotide ribosomal RNA is filed under the name uncultured bacterium. RNAcentral's name for it is "bacterial SSU rRNA". It matches the Rfam family "Bacterial small subunit ribosomal RNA", at positions 954 to 1390 of the family's 1533-position model. The record is from RNAcentral.